Molecule: ribosomal RNA, 321 nt
Filed under: Triticum aestivum (bread wheat)
Lineage: Eukaryota; Viridiplantae; Streptophyta; Magnoliopsida; Poales; Poaceae
Description: partial small subunit ribosomal RNA
Source: RNAcentral
AUGCUCCGCCUCCGUGGCUGCAUCCUCGUGCGGCUCCUCUCUUCCCCCGCCACCUCUCAGGCCCCCCUCUCCACCGCCCCCUCUCCGCGGCCGCCGCGCCCGGCGUUUCCCCAAACCCUAGCUUCGUCGUCGACGACUACCUCGUCUCCACCUGCGGCCUCACCCGACCCCAGGCACUCAAGGCCUCCGCCAAGCUCUCCCACCUCAAGUCUCCGUCCAAGCCCGACGCCGUCCUUUCCUUCCUCGCCGGCCUCGGCCUCUCCGGCACCGACGUCGCCGCCCUCGUCGCCAAAGACCCGUUGUUCCUCUGCGCCAAAGUAG